Molecule: non-coding RNA, 112 nt
Organism: Acanthosepion pharaonis
Lineage: Eukaryota; Metazoa; Mollusca; Cephalopoda; Sepiida; Sepiidae
Source: the annotation of a GenBank genome assembly
ACGGCCACAUCACAUUGAAACACCUGUUCCCGUGCGAUCAACGAAUUUAAGCAACGUCGAACCUGGUCAGUACCAAGAUGGGUGACCGUUUAAGAAUACCAGGUGCUGUAAG